GGAGGAACCUCUGGAGAGAACCGUUAGAUCGGUCGCCGAAGGAGCAAGCUUAGUGCCCGUUACUUAUCUGUAAGUGAUUCGCUAAGUGAAACUCUCAGGCAAAAGGACAGAGGAGUGGAA
This 120-nucleotide non-coding RNA is filed under the name Vibrio chagasii. RNAcentral describes it as "Glycine". It matches the Rfam family "Glycine riboswitch aptamer". Rfam says of the family: This family represents the bacterial glycine riboswitch. Glycine riboswitches usually consist of two metabolite-binding aptamers domains with similar structures in tandem. Lineage: Bacteria; Pseudomonadati; Pseudomonadota; Gammaproteobacteria; Vibrionales; Vibrionaceae. The record is from RNAcentral.